CCUANGUGAGGCUGCAGUCGAGGAUAUUUAGCAAUGGGGGAAACCCUGACUAUGUGACGCCGCGUGAGGGAUGAAGGUCUUCGGAUCGUAAACCUCUUUCGAUGGGGAAGAAACCCCCGCCUUUAUACGGCGGGAUUGACGGUACCUAGAGAAGAAGCCACGGCCAACUCUGUGCCAGCAGCCGCGGUAAUACAGAGGUGGCGAGCGUUACUCGGAUUUAUUGGGUGUAAAGGGCAGGUAGGCGUCCCUUCAAGUUAGAAGUGAAAUCCUAAGGCUUAACCUUAGAACUGCUUUUAAAACUGAAGGGAUUGAGGUUAGGAGAGGAGAGCGGAAUUCCCGGUGUAAGAGUGAAAUCUGUAGAUAUCGGGAGGAACACCAGUGGCGAAGGCGGCUCUCUGGCCUAACCCUGACGCUGAGCUGCGAAAGCUAGGGGAGCAAACAGGAUUAGAUACCCCUNUANUC
This 462-nucleotide ribosomal RNA is filed under the name uncultured bacterium. RNAcentral describes it as "bacterial SSU rRNA". It matches the Rfam family "Bacterial small subunit ribosomal RNA", at positions 338 to 795 of the family's 1533-position model. The record is from RNAcentral.